GUUAAUCCUUGUGUUUUUCCUUGUAAUUAUCAGAUAUGUCGGCCAAGAAUUUUCAAGAAAUCGAUGAAGAGGUUCAAUGUAGCAUGGUGGGCAUACUCAUUUCCCUUAACAUUCCUCGCACUUGCCUCAGCAGAAUAUGCACAACAGGUUAAAGGCGUUGUAGCACCCACACUACUGCUCAUCAUUUCAGCCCUCUCAGUUUUGGUUUUCCUUGUAAUUUUGGUCAUUACUGUUAUCAACACCGAUAAGCUUUUGCGCGAAAGCGAUCCUUAUCUGGGUUUUACGGGCAAUACCUAUAAAUCCUAGAGCAGGUGAAUCUACCAGUCGAGGAUGUGGAAAAUAUCGAAAUAUGACAAAUUAUGCACUAUUAGACCCUACAAUCUAUAUAUUACAAAGUUAAGAUGAGUAACAUAAUGUAUAAAUAUUUGGCUAAACUUUUGCAUAGUACGAGUUUUAUAACGAUAAAACAGGCCUCUGUAUGUUCCGAUGAUAAAUCAUGGUAAGUGUGCUGUUUAAGAAAAUUUUGAAUUGUCUCUAAAAUCAAUCAUGUAGAUAUACAAUAUAAAACUCCUAUGGGGAAAUAUUGGAACAACCCGAUGUAGG
RNAcentral lists this long non-coding RNA (603 nucleotides) under Olea europaea subsp. europaea. Lineage: Eukaryota; Viridiplantae; Streptophyta; Magnoliopsida; Lamiales; Oleaceae. The record is from RNAcentral.